Molecule: microRNA precursor, 110 nt
Organism: Gallus gallus (chicken)
Lineage: Eukaryota; Metazoa; Chordata; Aves; Galliformes; Phasianidae
Source: Ensembl
GAACUUGAGUGCACAGUCUCAUUAAGAUACUCAGAGAAUGAAUGAAAUGAAAGAAAUUUCUACUUCGUUCUAUGAUGCUUUGCUGAGAAUUGAGAAUGGCAGUUAAGUCU